RNAcentral lists this long non-coding RNA (202 nucleotides) under Panax ginseng (ginseng). RNAcentral's name for it is "long non-coding RNA (PGIN_LNC002496)". The record is from RNAcentral. Lineage: Eukaryota; Viridiplantae; Streptophyta; Magnoliopsida; Apiales; Araliaceae.
CUGUGGCGUCCCCGAAUCCGGGUCCCAAAUCGCCGCGGAUUCGGUACAAUCAUUCUACAACUGUUUGCGGAAGAUAUAAACAUAGAUUGUUUAUACAUUAAACUUUACACACAUUUCCCCAGAAUCGAGUAACCUUCACUUAUACACAAUCAUGAACUAUCUAGCACAUGACAAUACUAUUCUUCAACAUACUUUACAACUU